AUUGAACGCUGGCGGCAGGCCUAACACAUGCAAGUCGAGCGGAUGAAGGGAGCUUGCUCCUGGAUUCAGCGGCGGACGGGGGAGUAAUGCCUAGGAAUCUGCCUGGUAGUGGGGGAUAACGUCCGGAAACGGGCGCUAAUACCGCAUACGUCCUGUGGGAGAAAGUGGGGGAUCUUCGGACCUCACGCUAUCAGAUGAGCCUAGGUCGGAUUAGCUAGUUGGUGGGGUAAAGGCCUACCAAGGCGACGAUCCGUAACUGGUCUGAGAGGAUGAUCAGUCACACUGGAACUGAGACACGGUCCAGACUCCUACGGGAGGCAGCAGUGGGGAAUAUUGGGCAAUGGGCGAAAGCCUGAUCCAGCCAUGCCGCGUGUGUGAAGAAGGUCUUCGGAUUGUAAAGCACUGUAAGUUGGGAGGAAGGGCAGUAAGUUAAUCCCUUGCUGUUUUGACGGUACCAACAGAAUAAGCACCGGCUAACUUCGUG
Molecule: ribosomal RNA, 484 nt
Filed under: uncultured bacterium
Lineage: Bacteria
Description: partial 16S ribosomal RNA
Rfam family: Bacterial small subunit ribosomal RNA
Source: RNAcentral